Molecule: transfer RNA, 74 nt
Filed under: Atlantibacter hermannii
Lineage: Bacteria; Pseudomonadati; Pseudomonadota; Gammaproteobacteria; Enterobacterales; Enterobacteriaceae
Also listed under: 1 other name
Description: tRNA-Met(cat)
Rfam family: tRNA
About the family: Transfer RNA (tRNA) molecules are approximately 80 nucleotides in length.
Source: RNAcentral
GGCCCCUUAGCUCAGUGGUUAGAGCAGGCGACUCAUAAUCGCUUGGUCGUUGGUUCAAACCCAACAGGGGCCAC